UGUUUACACGCGCACACGCACGAAGUAAAACCUAAAUGAGCUGCAGUUUUUUUGGUUCUCUGGACAGAAAUGUUGAGUUUCCUCACAGGAUCCAGAACUUCAGCCUUAAAGCAGAAGAUGUGAUCAGUUAGAAACAUCUUAAUCUCCUCUUUAUGUGUCUAUUUUAGGGUCUCUGGUGUAUUUUUACAGUUAUUGUGCAUAUUUUUUAAGUUGUUUUGCAUAUUUUGUAGUCAUUUUCUAUGUUUUCACGCUUAUUUAGCAUCUUUUCAGGGUUGUUUUUCUUUUUUCUGCAAUUAUUUUGUGUCUAUGCGGUCACUUUGCAUCUUUUGCAGUUAUUUUGCAUCGUCUUAAAAUAGUUUAGCGUCCUUUUAAAAUUGUUUUGCAUCUUUUUUGGUAAUUUUGUAUGUGUGUUUAAUAAUUUUGGAAGUUUCUCACAUCUUUUGGUAAUUGUUUUUUUCAUAGUUUUUUUUUGCAUCCGUCUCUUUGCAGAUGAUGUGAUGUUUUUUAUGGUCGUUUAGCCUCCUGCAGUUGCUUUGUACAUCUUUGUAACUGUUAACGCUGUUAUUCUGCAUCUUUUUGCAGCCAUUUAUCAACAUCUUUAAGUUAUUUUUGCAUCUUUUUGUGCUCAUUUGUUCUUUUUUUUAGCAUGUCUUUGCAGUUCUUAUAUCUUUAGCAGCUGUUUUCUGUUUCUUGUGGUUAUAUGGUUAAGGGUUUUAGCUGUUAUUUUGCAUAUUUUCAGAGUUCUUUUGUAUCUCUUGCAGCUAUAUUGCAUCUAUUUCCACAUCUUCUUAAAGUUGUUUUGCAUUCUUUUCGGGUCAUUUUGUACAUUUUCCAAUGAAGGUGAAUAAUUUUUGUUCAAGUUUCUCACAUCAUUUUGUAAUUAUUUUGUGUCUCUUUGCAGACGAUGUGACGUUUUUUAUGGUUGUUUAGCCUACUGCAGUUGUUUCAUACGUCUUUGUAACUGUUAACGCCGUUAUUCUGCGUCUUUUUGCAGCCAUUUGUCCUCGUCUUUAAGUUAUUUUUGCAUCUUUUUGUGCUCAUUUGCUCAAUUUGCAGUUGUCUUGCAAUGUUUGUGGUUAACUUGCAUCUCUUUGUUGUUGUAGAAAAGUCUCUCCAUCUCAGCUGCUGAAGCCUGGAACUCUUUCAGAGGAGUCAUAGGAGUCUUGGUGGCCUACCUCACUAGUCUCUCAGUUUUAACUACUUUUUACAGCUACUGUAAAUUUGUCUGUAAUUUUUAAUCUCGUCUUUUUUAUUUUUUAUUCUCCUGAUCAGCCUGCCUCUUUCUGUUUUAACUUCCUUUCUUCAUAUUUAUCUGAGUUGUUCUUGCCUCCAGGUUCUUUCUUUCUGAAGUAAAGCCCUUCGUGUCACCGUCUUGUUGAGAGAGACAAACCAGCUUUGCUUUGCGGUAAAAGUCUAAAACCUCAGAAACACUUUUCAUCGUCUCUGUUCAUACAUCAGGACUCGUUGUGCAUCGGAGGAAUCGUGGGUGUUUGACGUGAAAACAAACCGAGCGGCUUCAGGUCCGGAAACGUCGACGCAGCAGAUUGAGGAAAUGUGGUUUUCAUGCAGCGUUCGGGGAACAUUUCAUUCCUGAAUGAGAACCUGUUUGAGACACGCAACAAGAAUCAGAGUCAGAGCGAGGACACGAAUCCAGCUGAUAAACAGUCCUCUGAUCCUGCUGAACGUCAGAGCGGAGCCUCGACAACUCAGUCUGACACUGGAAUCAACAGCAGGUUUACCGUCGUCACGGAGAUUCACAGCUGGAAGUCCAGGAUCAGGUUCCAGCAGCUGGUCCUCCUGAUGGGACUCAGACCAGAGGUUCUCUCAGGUCGUUGCCGCUCCAUUGACUGUCCCACAGUAAAUCUGCUGACUGACUGAAACCCUGUUGGAGCUGCAGGUGUCCGUCCUCCUCCAGACGGACUCGGAGCUCUGCUGGACUCAGUAAACGGUUCAACCAUCGCAGCAGCAGCAGGAAUAACGGAGCAGGCUGAUAUUUGGACAGACAGGGCAAUCCAUCAUCACCUCUCCUCCCUGGACUCACCUGUCUCCCCUCCUCCCCCUCCUCCCCCUGUGUUACCUGGCAGCCUGCUGCUGCUGCUGCUGCUGCUGCUUCUGCCGCCGCCGCCGUUUAUUUUCUCUGGGUUUGGUUUUUCUACCGCCGCUGCCAGAGACAAUAUUAUUCUGGAAACCUGCAGGUGAUUUCCUUUCAUCUCCCCGCCUUUGAUUUCAUGGUGACGUCCAUUUCAUGCUCAUUUCCUCGUGGCGCCUCGCCUCAAGGCCGGCUUUCAUUCGCCACGAAACGGCCUCUUAUGCUCUGACCUCUGGAUCAGUCCGGCUGCACAUCUGGAGCAACACCAGACCCACUAUCCAGCUGUGGACCAGGACAUCUGGAGCAACACCAGACCCACUGUCCAGCUGUGGACCGGGACAUCUGGAGCAACACCAGACCCACUGUCCGGCUGUGGACCGGGACAUCUGGAGCAACACCAGACCCACUGUCCGGCUGUGGACUGGGACAUCUGGAGCAACACCAGACCCACUGUCCAGCUGUGGACUGGGACAUCUGGAGCAACACCAGACCCACUGUCCAGCUGUGGACUGGGACAUCUGGAGCAACACCAGACCCACUGUCCAGCUGUGGACUGGGACAUCUGGAGCAACACCAGACCCACUGUCCGGCUGUGGAAGAGGACUGAACGAUCAGUCCGGCUGCUGGUUCAUAGAUGGACAAAUAUUAGCACAAAUUCUGGAGUUUAGUUUGUUCCUCGUUGAAAAGACACAAAACGACAAAUCAGGUCACUGAGUGGUGGCAGCUGCUGAUUCCUAUAGGUCAUUUUGUGUUAAUUUGUGGUUCUUUGUGUCUUUUAGUGGUUGUUUUGUGUCUCUGUGUGGUUGUUUUGUGUCUUUUAGUGGUUGUUUUGUGUCUAUUUGUGGUUGUUUGUGUCUUUAGUGGUUGUUUUGUGUCUUUUAGUGGUUGUUUUGUGUCUCUGUGUGGUUGUUUUGUGCCCUUUAGUUGUUGUUUUGUGUCUCUGUGUGGUUGUUUGUGUCAUUUAGUGGUUAUUUUGUGUCUCUGUGUGGUUGUUUUGUGCCCUUUAGUGGUUGUUUUGUGUCUUUGUGUGGUUGUUUGUGUCUUUUAGUGGUUGUUUGUGUCUUUGAGUGGUUGUUUUGUGUCUCUGUGUGGUUGUUUUGUGUCUUUAGUGGUUGCUUUGUGUCUGUGUGGUUGUUUGUGUCUUUUAGUGGUUGUUUUGUGUCUCUUUGUGGUUGUUUUGUGUCUCUGUGGUUGUUUUGUGUCAUUUAGUGGUUAUUUUGUGUCUCUUUGUGGUUGUUUUGUGUCCUCGUCUACAGAAAUGUAUGUAUUUGUUCAUAAAGUUUUUAAAAUAGACGUCAUCAGCAGGAAUCCAGAAAGAGAAAAAUCAACACAUUGUUAGUUUGAACAUUUGCUUGUUUGUGUUUAAUAGUUGAACCUAGAGGUGUCAUUGAACCAGGAACCCUGUGAUCACAUGAUGAACUUGUUCAACCACUGCACCACAUGGUCAGCGGUUGAACUUCUCCUGGGAUUGGGUCUGGAUUGACGUCAGCACCACAGAAUGUGGAAACACCUGGGCUCCGUUUCAUGAAGCAGGUUCAACAAACUCUGAGUUUAACCCUGAACUCUGAGUUGAUCUACUCUGAGAUAGAAAACUCUGAGUUUUCGGUUUCACAACGGCUGAUUUGAGUUGGUUUAAUCAACUCAGAGUAGUUUCACCUGGAGUUAAGCGCGUGCACCACAACUCUGAAAAGCCAGUAUCAAUGGAGCGCCGAUUCGACGAGUCACCAUGGCAACGGGGAAGCGGAGGACUGCGUUUUUUACACCACUUGAACUGGACAUCUUAAUUCGUUCAUAUGGCGACUUCGAACACGUUUUUAGAAAGAAGUGCAACACCUGCAGCUGCAAAAGAGAGGGAGACGGUGUGGGAGAACAUUGCUGCCCUGUCAAUGCAUUGUGAUGGUGUUAUCUGCCUGGUGGAGCCCCUUCACACCACAACAGAGCUUGUAACUGAUGAAGAGGAUGAAACUGUGUCUGCUGCCUUUACAGAGGGGGAUCCAGAAAGGCAUCUGGAGAGCAUGGCUGGACAGCAGCAGGAUGCUUCCUCAACUUCCACUGCACAGAUUGACUCAGUAAGAUGGAUGUUCAGUAAACACCAGAGGUUCAUUCUGUGGAAUUCAUGUGCAACUGUAUAAUUUAAUGUCCUUUAUGUAUU
Molecule: long non-coding RNA, 4241 nt
Organism: Amphiprion ocellaris (clown anemonefish)
Lineage: Eukaryota; Metazoa; Chordata; Actinopteri; Pomacentridae
Exons: 7
Source: RefSeq, a predicted model, not a curated record